Molecule: ribosomal RNA, 253 nt
Filed under: uncultured bacterium
Lineage: Bacteria
Description: partial 16S ribosomal RNA
Rfam family: Bacterial small subunit ribosomal RNA
Source: RNAcentral
UACGAAGGGGGCUAGCGUUGUUCGGAAUCACUGGGCGUAAAGCGCACGUAGGCGGAUUUGUAAGUCAGAGGUGAAAGCCCGGGGCUCAACCUCGGAACUGCCUUUGAUACUGCAAACCUCGAGGAAGGAAGAGGUGAGUGGAACUCCGAGUGUAGAGGUGAAAUUCGUAGAUAUUAGGAAGAACACCAGUGGCGAAGGCGGCUCACUGGUCCGGUACUGACGCUGAGGUGCGAAAGCGUGGGGAGCAAACAGG